GAUGAACGCUGGCGGCGUGCCUAAUACAUGCAAGUCGAACGAACAGACGCGGAGCUUGCCCGUCUGACGUUAGCGGCGGACGUGUGAGAAACACGUGGGUAACCUGCCUAUAAGUCUGGGAUAACUUCGUGAAACCGGACCUAAUACCGUAUAAUGUAUUGAACGGCAGGGUUCAAUAGUGAAAUACGCUUUUCCUGUCUCGAAUAGCUGAUUCCGCGCCGCAUUAGCUAGUUGGUAAGGUAACGGCUUACCAAGGCGACGAUGCGUAGCCGACCUGAGAGGGUGAUCGGCCACACUGGAACUGAGACACGGUCCAGACUCCUACGGGAGGCAGCAGUAGGGAAUCUUCCGCAAUGGGCGAAAGCCUGACGGAGCAACGCCGCGUGAGUGAUGAAGGUCUUCGGAUCGUAAAACUCUGUUAUUAGGGAAGAAAAAAUGUGUAAGUAACUAUGCACGUCUUGACGGUACCUAAUCAGAAAGCCACGGCUAACUACGUG
Molecule: ribosomal RNA, 497 nt
Filed under: uncultured bacterium
Lineage: Bacteria
Description: partial 16S ribosomal RNA
Rfam family: Bacterial small subunit ribosomal RNA
Source: RNAcentral